Long non-coding RNA from Mus musculus (house mouse), 1156 nucleotides. RefSeq annotates it as predicted gene, 32128. The record is from RefSeq and is a predicted model, not a curated record. The transcript has 3 exons. NCBI's taxonomy places the organism in Eukaryota, Metazoa, Chordata, Mammalia, Rodentia, Muridae.
CACACGUUCACGCUGCAUACAUCCUGCAAGCCACCACCAUGCUGCUGUCUCAUCCUGGGGAGAGAGUUUAACCUCCCUAAGGGGAGGCAGGGACAACUUUGAGGUCCUCCUUGUGAGUUAAAUGAGAAAAUCUGAGCACAAGCUUUGCACUGUGCUUGAGAACCAGCAGCCUCAGUGGCAGCCCUUCCUCAUGUGUGCUUAGCAAUGGCUCUAAUAUGCCAUAUUUGAAGAGACUGCAAAACUAGGCUGGCACUGGCUGAGCUCUCGGGCCACCAGCCCUCGGCACUCCUGCCUUCUCCCAAGGUGACCCAGCACUGGCCUGCCAGCUCUGUCCAGAGCUGCUGAGUGAGUAAUUUUCUGAAAUGAAUCAAAACCAGUCGACAAGAGUCUCCUGAGCUGUCCAGAUGAACUGCUGACCAGACAAAGGGCUGACAGACAUGGCCCACUGGAAGGUCCUUAGCACAUCAGGAAGCAAGUGCCACAAGGAAGCAUGAUUUCAGAAGCCCAGAGCACCGCAGGCCUGUGGACACAUGCUCCCACCCCCUUACGUGUCUGUCUGUCCAUCAGUGUCAUCUGUCCAUCCCUGUCCCUUUCCAUGCAUCACAUUUUAUUUUCUCAGAGAGGGGUUUGAUCUUUAGCACAGGCUUGAACCUGGGACUUACUAUGUAGCCUAGGUUGGCCUCAAACUCUCAGCAAUCCUCUUCCUCAGCCUCCCAAAUGCUAGGUUUACAGGCAUUCACGUUUAUUGCCCCUUUUUUGCCAGCUUCAUGAAGAGCCACCAGAGGAGCCUGCCAAGGCGAGGCAGCACCUUAACUUUCAGUCUCUUGCAAACUGAGUCCUUAUCACUUCUCAGCCUGGAGGAAACAACAGCCCUACCUGAGGCCAUCACAACCACAUGAGUUUCCUGGUUACAUCACUCAUCUGUGCACAGAAGUUCAUCACAACCUAAGGCACACACCGAAGGUCCUGGCCUGGCAUUCUCCAGCCUCCAGAUUCCCCUGUCAUCUGGCUGCAGAAAUGCCCAAGCAAUGUCACCCACUCCUAAAGGCCGCUCACUCUCUGCUCCCCCUGCCUGACAGAUGCUUCAACUCUGUGCCUUCUGGGCUUAUAGGGAUGCUAACAUAGGGGAUAGAGAGGAAGGAAGAAAAGGAGGAAA